RNAcentral lists this transfer RNA (72 nucleotides) under Stegodyphus mimosarum. It matches the Rfam family "tRNA". Rfam says of the family: Transfer RNA (tRNA) molecules are approximately 80 nucleotides in length. Their secondary structure includes four short double-helical elements and three loops (D, anti-codon, and T loops). Lineage: Eukaryota; Metazoa; Arthropoda; Arachnida; Araneae; Eresidae. The record is from Rfam by way of RNAcentral.
GCCUUCGUGGUGUAAUGGUAGCACACUCGCUGUGUAAUCGAGAGGUCCAGGGUUCGAGUCCUGUCGAGGGUA